AGUUUUCAAACAAAACUCAUAAGAAUCUCGAGGACUUUGUCUUUUCUUAUUGUGUAGAAUACUAAGAAAGCAUCACCAUACAGCACGAAAAGAAAUAUUGAAAACAAAUCAACAGCCACACACUUGGACUCGCCCUGCCCAGGACCCAGGAGGAGCCCCAGGAGUGUGGGUGAUUAGAAACCUUGGGAUACUGAAUUGCAGAAAUGUCACAUAUUCAUUCACAGACCACCGCCUGUCCCAGGGAUAGAGAAGAAGAGACACACAUCCACACAUGGUAAUCUAAAGCCAGGUUUGCCCCUACAAGGCAGAGGGCAAAACUGGUGAAUAUUGCACCGUGAACUGCAGGGGCCCUCAACCCCACUCCGUGUUUAAUGGUGGCCAAGUCCAGCCUAGACAGGUGGGCAGACUGAUGGCAGGAGUAGCCUAAGAAGAGAAGGCCAAUCAUUCAAUGUUUAUUGAGCACCUAUCAUUCAACCAUUCACCCGUUCAGCAUUUAUUGAGUGCCAACUCUGUGCUAGGCACUGGGCAAGGCUCUGGGAUGCAUGCAUGCACAAGACUGCACCCUGGCUCCUUUUGAGGCCCUGAUCAAGUCUCAUCGAUUCUUGAAACUCCCUCUAGGAACGUUCAGGAAGACUGGACAUGCUGUGUGCCCAAUCAGCAGGGGGUUAAGCUGUGAGCAAAGAAGGAUCACUGCCCAGGCGAGGACCAAGCUUCAGGGAGGAAGAGGAACUUGAGUUCACCCUGACAGCAGGACUGGGGUGGGGGAAGAGCAUACUCCAGGAAAGGGAACCUUGUGAGAAGGUGUGAGGACCGACUGGACAAUUGUGUGUGGAGCUCUGGGACAGGCAGGGCUGUAGGGAGAAGCAAAGAGGCCAAGAGCCAGAUCCCCGCUAACUGCAGUAUCAACAAAUCCGAGCUGAGGGUGAGGACAGGCAAAGGAGCAGGGGAGAAGGGAGCAGGGCUCAGGAAGGAGGGCUAUGGAGCUGGAAGCCAGGGCUGUGUGGCUGCAACAGCCACCUGUCCCUCUGUAAACACACGCACAUGCACACACACA
This 1054-nucleotide long non-coding RNA is filed under the name Equus asinus (donkey). Its description in RNAcentral is "lncRNA (ENSEASG00005026613.1)". The record is from RNAcentral. Lineage: Eukaryota; Metazoa; Chordata; Mammalia; Perissodactyla; Equidae.